UGAAGAAUAAAGUUUUAUUAUUAUUUUGAGGGGUUAAAUUAAAUUUAAUAUUUACAUGUAAAUAUUAGUAUGAAUAAAGGUUGAUAUUUAAAUAAUGCAAUAAUUAGGGGUUAUUCGCAGUAGAAAAUUUUAAAUAUUAACGAAAGUUAGAUUUGGGGAAGAUUUUUAGUAUUAACAAAAUUUGUGCCAGCAGUUGCGGUUAUACAAAUAAUACAAUUUAAUUAGUUUUAGUAUUAAUAUGUAAGAAAUUAAUAAAUUUUAAGGGGAAAUUUAUUAGGUGAAAUUUUAAAUUUUUAGGGGAUUUAUUUGUUAUUAUUAUUUAAGAAAUUUAAAAAUAAACUAGGAUUAGAUACCCUAUUAUUUUAAAUGUAAAUUUAUACUAGAUUAGUAUUAGUUAUGUUCUUGAAAAUUAAAGAUUUUGGCGGUUUUUUAGUCUAUUCAGAGGAACCUGUCCUAUAAUUGAUAGUCCACGAUUUUUGUGACUUUUUUUAAGAGUUUGUAUAUCGUCGUAGUUAGAAUAUUCUAAAAGGAUUUAAAUUUUCAAGAUUUAUUUUUUAAAGGAAAUCAGAUCAAGGUAUAGCUUAUAAAAAAGGAGAGAUGGGUUACAUUAAUUUUAAUUUUUGAUUAUUUAUUGAAAAUAUUUAUGAAUUUGGAUUUGAAUGUAAUUUUAUUUAGAUUAAUAAAAUGAUUUAAGCUCUAAAAUAUGUACAUAUCGCCCGUCGCUUUCAUUUUAAGGUGAAAUAAGUCGUAACAAAGUAGGUUUACUGGAAAGUGGGUCUAGAAAG
Molecule: non-coding RNA, 785 nt
Filed under: Glenea cantor
Lineage: Eukaryota; Metazoa; Arthropoda; Insecta; Coleoptera; Cerambycidae
Source: RNAcentral